This 2921-nucleotide unclassified non-coding RNA is filed under the name Fusarium oxysporum. RNAcentral describes it as "partial 28S-18S ribosomal RNA intergenic spacer". The stretch from base 1 to 179 matches the Rfam family "Eukaryotic large subunit ribosomal RNA", at positions 3223 to 3401 of the family's 3401-position model. The record is from RNAcentral. Lineage: Eukaryota; Fungi; Ascomycota; Sordariomycetes; Hypocreales; Nectriaceae.
GCAGGCGAUUCUUCCACGGCGCUCGAAGCGCGUCGUGGUAUUUCGCGUAUUGUAAUUUCAACACGAGCGGGGUCAAAUCCUUUGCAGACGACUUAGCUGUGCGAAACGGUCCUGUAAGCAGUAGAGUAGCCUUGUUGUUACGAUCUGCUGAGGGUAAGCCGUCCUUCGCCUCGAUUUCCCCAAUGGGUUCUCCGGAUUUCUGGAGACUUGUAGGGGUUGUGGGAUUUUUGAUGUGUCGUCUCCGGACGGGCGGUGCAGGGUAGUCGAGUUAGACUUGGUGGAAUUCCGUCGAUAGGAGUUCCGUCGAGUCUGGUCGGCUGUGUGUUGGACGGUGCAGGGUAGGCUGCUUGGACAUGGUCGGUUCGAGGGAUCGAUUCGAGGGCUGGCCUGUCGAUGAUGUGUGAUGUAUGCGGUCUAGGGUAGGCUGGUUUGUCUUGGUUCAAUUUGAUGUCGGCUCCCGUGCAGGCCAGAGUGAGGGGGGUCCAGGGUAGGUACAGGGUAGGCAGCUUAGAUUUGGUCGAUCUGGAGGUCGAUUCUCCGGCUGGCGGAUCUGACACUGUCGAAACGAGAUGCGAGCGGUGUAGGGUAGGCUAGUUUCGUCGUCGCCAGGUUGCGAUUUGGACGAGAUAUGUAGUUUAGGGUAUGCUCUAGGGUAAGUAGAAUUCGAGUUUCGUCGCCGACAGUUUUCUGUGGGUGUAUGGUAGGUACAGGGUAGGCAAAUCUCUCUCCGGCCAGUACUUGUCUGGUGGUCGUGAGUCGAUUUUUUUGUUUUGCCAUACUAUUGAAUUUUGCGGAAAUUCAAAAGUGGCUCGGGAGUCCCGCCUGGCGUGCGUCCGACUCGAACAUCGUCGGUGCACAUAUGAGAGGGAGUAAUCCGGCCCGGCCGGGGCCCAUCGCGAGCUGCCGGGUAGGUAAAAGUAAAAAAGUUGUUAAGAGGCGCGGUGUCGGCGUGCUUGUAUUUGCGGGAGAGAAUUAUCUGGGGGUGCUGGGUAGCCGGGAAGACUUGGACGGAUCUGGCCCGGGAAUGGGUCUGGGCCUGGAUUCUGGUGUGGUGUAGGGUAGGCGUAGAUAGAUGAGUGGUCUAGGGUAGAUACAGGGUAGCCAGACGUCUGGUAUAUAGUAUGGGGGUGUAGGGUAGGUCUGGACACCGUUUUCCACUUCGCCCUUCCCUUUAGUCGAGGGAGGAUGAUCUUGACUGGGACGGAGGUGUAGGGUAGGCUUAAUUUACGAUUACAUGAUCUGUGUCACUCUAGGGUAGGUGAAAAUCUUAUAUAUAUCUGAUCACAUUUGGUGAAGAAGUGGUUUGGCUGGUGAGAUGGACAAAAGUGCAAUGUUGAAUUAUAUGUGAUUUUGCAAAAGUGGGUGUGAAAUUGGAAAGUCGGUUUUCCCGCACAGAUGAGAGCACGUUUGAGGUGCCAUGAGAUGCACCUCUCCGAGACGACCUCAACGGUACCACCCAUGUGUUGGUCGGGCUCCUGUGCGGCCGUCCAAUGCGGGAUAAGUAGAGAAUGUGGUGGUGUAGGGUAGGCGUAGAUAGAUGAGUGGUCUAGGGUAGAUACAGGGUAGCCAGACGUCUGGUAUAUAGUAUGGGGGUGUAGGGUAGGUCUGGACACCGUUUUCCACUUCGCCCUUCCCUUUAGUCGAGGGAGGAUGAUCUUGACUGGGACGGAGGUGUAGGGUAGGCUUAAUUUACGAUUACAUGAUCUGUGUCACUCUAGGGUAGGUGAAAAUCUUAUAUAUAUCUGAUCACAUUUGGUGAAGAAGUGGUUUGGCUGGUGAGAUGGACAAAAGUGCAAUGUUGAAUUAUAUGUGAUUUUGCAAAAGUGGGUGUGAAAUUGGAAAGUCGGUUUUCCCGCACAGAUGAGAGCACGUUUGAGGUGCCAUGAGAUGCACCUCUCCGAGACGACCUCAACGGUACCACCCAUGUGUUGGUCGGGCUCCUGUGCGGCCGUCCAAGGCGGGAUAAGUAGAGAAUGUGGUGGUGUAGGGUAGGUGACCAGGUCCAGGGUAGGUUCGCCAAAUCCGUCAAUCCGGCUUGAAUCGAAGGACAGGUCUAGGGUAGGCCAGAGUCGGGUCUAGGGUAGGCAACCUUCACCCUCGAAGUGGUCUACCCGGUAGCCAACUUCAAUCGCCUCUCACGGCCGCCACGGACCUCGCAUGACGACGGGACUACCACCAUCGGAUUCGCCUUGGUCGAAAUAGCUGGUAUAUGCACUUUUGAAAAAAUGCGUGCAAAAUGGUUUUGUGGUUUGGUGGCCGUGAGUCGAUUUUUUUGUUUUCCCAUACAAAUGAAUUUUGCGGAAAAUAAAAAGUGGCCCACGAGGCAGUCCUGGCGUGCGGCCCACUAAAACGGUCUCGGAGGGUAUAUGAGAAGGGAGCAAAUCCGGCCGAGCCUGAAAGGGUGAGGACAAACCGGGCGAGCAACCUCUCAGUAUCAGAUCUUGCAGACUUCCACUGCGUGUCCCUCUGUACAGCUUUGCAGGCUCCGGCCUCGGCAGCGGGGGGUUCAUAGUGGUCGUCGACCUCCACGAAACUGCACGCUCCGGCGUGACAGCGUACUGGGGAUGCCUGUGUAGAUGCAGUCCGGGCUUGCCUGGACCGCUAGCAGAUGGGCUCUGUGGAUGACUGGCCGCUGGCUAGACCUGAAACCUGAGCAACGGGAGGUAACCUCUCGCCGCGGACACCGGAAUGGUAGAAGCGGCGUGCUGCGUCCUCCUCUUGGGGCCCCUAAGCCACACCUCCCAUAGCGGGUUCGGUGCGGCGGACGGACGCCCUGGGGAAUUUAGAGGGGGAAAGCGGAUUGCCCUAGCGGUGUUGUUGGCCCUGCCGACCUCACUGCGAAAGGCGCGACUUCACCGUCGCCACCCAGUAACUUGUCUCUCCGGCGCUUCACGGCGCUGGUGGCCAACCCCGGCACACGA